This 321-nucleotide ribosomal RNA is filed under the name Notodendrodes hyalinosphaira. RNAcentral's name for it is "bacterial SSU rRNA". It matches the Rfam family "Eukaryotic small subunit ribosomal RNA", at positions 1207 to 1412 of the family's 1831-position model. The record is from RNAcentral. Lineage: Eukaryota; Foraminifera.
GGGAAAUCUUACCGGGUCCGGACACACUGAGGAUUGACAGGUGUUUCGUUUUGAUAUGGUAUUGUAUCAAUGCGUUUUUCCUUUUUGGAGAAAUGUACAUAUGUACUAUUAUGCAAAACAUUUCAAAUAUGCUAGUCCUUUCAUGAUUGUGUGAUAGGUGGUGCAUGGCCGUUCUUAGUUCGUGGAGUGAUCUGUCUGCUUAAUUGCGUUUCACAUAUGGCUCGUACGUGUUUUAUGCUAAUACUGUGACCUCAUUGUUCUUUUACAGAGUGGUGACUGCGUCCGGUAUGGUAUACGCUGCGAUCGCCACGAAGGCAACGA